CUCCUACGGGAGGCAGCAGUGGGGAAUAUUGCACAAUGGGCGCAAGCCUGAUGCAGCCAUGCCGCGUGUAUGAAGAAGGCCUUCGGGUUUGUAAAGUACUUUCAGCAGUGAGGAAGGCGGAGUCGUUAAUAGCGGCCUCGUUUGACGUUAGCUGCAGAAGAAGCACCGGCUAACUCCGUGCCAGCAGCCGCGGUAAUACGGAGGGUGCGAGCGUUAAUCGGAAUUACUGGGCGUAAAGCGCAUGCAGGUGGUUUGUUAAGUCAGAUGUGAAAGCCCGGGGCUCAACCUCGGAAUUGCAUUUGAAACUGGCAGACUAGAGUACUGUAGAGGGGGGUAGAAUUUCAGGUGUAGCGGUGAAAUGCGUAGAGAUCUGAAGGAAUACCGGUGGCGAAGGG
Molecule: ribosomal RNA, 395 nt
Filed under: uncultured bacterium
Lineage: Bacteria
Description: bacterial SSU rRNA
Rfam family: Bacterial small subunit ribosomal RNA
Source: RNAcentral